GGUCCAGUGGGUAGGACUUGGUGCUUUCAAUGCCAUGGCCCUGGGUUCAAUACCCGG
This 57-nucleotide transfer RNA is filed under the name Capra hircus (goat). It matches the Rfam family "tRNA", at positions 9 to 63 of the family's 71-position model. Rfam says of the family: Transfer RNA (tRNA) molecules are approximately 80 nucleotides in length. Their secondary structure includes four short double-helical elements and three loops (D, anti-codon, and T loops). The record is from Rfam by way of RNAcentral. RNAcentral also lists the same sequence under 1 other name. Lineage: Eukaryota; Metazoa; Chordata; Mammalia; Artiodactyla; Bovidae.